UACGUAGGGUGCAAGCGUUGUCCGGAAUUAUUGGGCGUAAAGAGCUCGUAGGCGGUCUGUCGCGUCGGCUGUGAAAUCCCGGAGCUCAACUCCGGGCCUGCAGUCGAUACGGGCAGACUGGAGUUCGGCAGGGGGGACUGGAAUUCCUGGUGUAGCGGUGAAAUGCGCAGAUAUCAGGAGGAACACCGGCGGCGAAGGCGGGUCUCUGGGCCGUAACUGACGCUGAGGAGCGAAAGCGUGGGGAGCGAACAGG
This 253-nucleotide ribosomal RNA is filed under the name uncultured bacterium. RNAcentral describes it as "partial 16S ribosomal RNA". It matches the Rfam family "Bacterial small subunit ribosomal RNA", at positions 524 to 776 of the family's 1533-position model. The record is from RNAcentral.